CCUACGGGGGGCAGCAGUGGGGAAUAUUGCGCAAUGGGCGAAAGCCUGACGCAGCGACGCCGCGUGAGGGAUGAAGGUCUUAGGAUCGUAAACCUCUGUCAGCAGGGAAGAACGGUCACUGUGCUAAUCAGCAGUGAAUUGACGGUACCUGCAAAGGAAGCACCGGCUAACUCCGUGCCAGCAGCCGCGGUAAUACGGAGGGGGCGAGCGUUAAUCGGAAUUACUGGGCGUAAAGCGCUCGUAGGCGGUAUGUCAAGUCAAGGGUGAAAUCCCCGGGCUCAACGUGGGAACUGCCUUUGAAACUGGCAGACUGGAGUGUGUGAGAGGAUAGUGGAAUUCCAGGUGUAGGAGUGAAAUCCGUAGAUAUCUGGAGGAACAUCAGUGGCGAAGGCGACUAUCUGGCACAUAACUGACGCUGAGGAGCGAAAGCGUGGGUAGCAAACAGGAUUAGAUACCCUGGUAGUC
This 465-nucleotide ribosomal RNA is filed under the name uncultured bacterium. RNAcentral's name for it is "partial 16S ribosomal RNA". It matches the Rfam family "Bacterial small subunit ribosomal RNA", at positions 338 to 795 of the family's 1533-position model. The record is from RNAcentral.